Long non-coding RNA from Penaeus monodon (black tiger shrimp), 533 nucleotides. RefSeq lists it as uncharacterized. NCBI's taxonomy places the organism in Eukaryota, Metazoa, Arthropoda, Malacostraca, Decapoda, Penaeidae. The transcript has 3 exons. The record is from RefSeq and is a predicted model, not a curated record.
CUGAUUGUCCUGUCUACGACAAGGAUUGAUCACACUGAAAACGACUUGCUUGCAUGCCUCGUCGACUAUGAUGCAGUGGCAGUCCAGUGCUAUGCUAUUCCUUCCAGAGGCCCACGCGCUGCUGUGGACCCUCCAUCGGUACCUGCGGCUACCUCCUGCACAAAGUUAGUGGCAGCCUGAGUCACUGGAGGUGUUGGGGGUCCAGCUUGAGAGAUAGAGGACAUCUUCACUCUUGCACUUUCUCUCUUCUGUCGGUGAAUUUCUUCUCAUAAAGUUCUCCACUUCCUGGUCAGAGAGGCGACCAUGCUCCUGGACAAUAGACUUCAGUUUCUGGUACACACACUCAGCCAUGGUACAGUCACCACAUACAUAAAAGUGUCCCUUCUGCUCUACUACUUGACGAUACACCUCUGAGCCAACACCAACAAGGAGAUCCUGGACAUAUGUCUGUGAAUUUAAAAAGUACAAGAAACCUAUUCAAACAUACAUCAUUAUGUUAGUUUGAUAAAGUCCUAAUGAAUCAUAGUAACAUC